GACGAACGCUGGCGGCGUGCUUAACACAUGCAAGUCGAACGGUGAAGCGCUUUCCUUUUUGGUUGGUGUGGAUGAGUGGCGAACGGGUGAGUAACACGUGAGUAACCUGCCCCCUUCUUCUGGAUAACCGCAUGAAAGUGUGGCUAAUACGGGAUAUUCUGCGCCUGCUUCAUGGUGGGUGUGGGAAAGAUUGUGCCUUUGGGUGUUUUCGGUGGGGGAUGGGCUCGCGGCCUAUCAGCUUGUUGGUGGGGUGAUGGCCUACCAAGGCGGUGACGGGUAGCCGGCCUGAGAGGGUGGACGGUCACACUGGGACUGAGACACGGCCCAGACUCCUACGGGAGGCAGCAGUGGGGAAUAUUGCACAAUGGGCGCAAGCCUGAUGCAGCGACGCCGCGUGAGGGAGGGAGGCCUUCGGGUUGUGAACCUCUUUCGCCAGUGAAGCAGGCCUGCUCCUUGUGGGUGGGUUGACGGUAGCUGGAUAAGAAGCGCCGGCUAACUACGUG
Molecule: ribosomal RNA, 503 nt
Filed under: uncultured bacterium
Lineage: Bacteria
Description: partial 16S ribosomal RNA
Rfam family: Bacterial small subunit ribosomal RNA
Source: RNAcentral